UCGAGAAUCUUCGGCAAUGGGCGCCAGCCUGACCGAGCGACGCCGCGUGGAGGACGAAGGCCUUCGGGUUGUAAACUCCUGUCGAGGGGGAACAAGGGCGGCGGAGAGCCGCCUUGAGUGAUCCCUGGAGGAAGCACGGGCUAAGUUCGUGCCAGCAGCCGCGGUAAGACGAACCGUGCGAACGUUAUUCGGAAUCACUGGGCUUAAAGCGCGUGUAGGCGGGCCGGCACGUCGGACGCUGAAAUCCCCCGGCUCAACCGGGGAACGGGCGCCGAUACGACCGGCCUGGAGGGGGGUAGGGGGAGCCGGAACUUCCGGUGGAGCGGUGAAAUGCGUUGAGAUCGGAAGGAACGCCCGUGGCGAAAGCGGGCUCCUGGACCCCACCUGACGCUGAGACGCGAAAGCCAGGGGAGCGAACG
RNAcentral lists this ribosomal RNA (419 nucleotides) under uncultured bacterium. Its description in RNAcentral is "bacterial SSU rRNA". It matches the Rfam family "Bacterial small subunit ribosomal RNA", at positions 355 to 774 of the family's 1533-position model. The record is from RNAcentral.